UACGGAGGGGGCGAGCGUUAUUCGGAUUUACUGGGCGUAAAGGGUGCGUAGGCGGCCGCGCAAGUCUGGUGUGAAAUCUUCACCGCUCAACGGGAAGAGGUCACUGGAAACUGCGCGGCUCGAGUAUGGUAGAGGCAAGCGGAAUUCCUGGUGUAGCGGUGGAAUGUGUAGAUAUCAGGAAGAACACCCGUGGCGAAGGCGGCUUGCUGGGCCACUACUGACGCUGAGGCACGAAAGCGUGGGGAGCAAACGGGAUUAGAUACCCGCGUAGU
This 272-nucleotide ribosomal RNA is filed under the name uncultured prokaryote. Its description in RNAcentral is "partial 16S ribosomal RNA". It matches the Rfam family "Bacterial small subunit ribosomal RNA", at positions 524 to 794 of the family's 1533-position model. The record is from RNAcentral.